CGGGGGACGCACGGCGGCGCCUCGCGCCGGGGCUGGACGGAGCGGGCGCGCGCGCGAGACGGGAGGGGACGGGGAGGGGAGAAGGGGGAGCCCGCCCCGCCGCGGCGCCCGGCGCGCGCUCCCGGCCCGCCCCGCUUCCGCCCGGCGCCGCUCUCCGUGCGGCUCUCGCUCUCUCUCUCUCGGCCCGUUCCGGCCCGGCCCUGCUCCGCCGCGCCCCCCGACUCCCGUCGGGCAGCCCCGCCGUCGUCAUCGCCCCCGCCCCCCGCUGCCAGGCGCUCCGGCUGGGGGUGACCCGCCGGUAGGGCCGCCUCGCUCCGCAGCGCGGGGCCUGCCCGCCGCUCCGCCUCGGGCCGAUCCGUUGACGGUCGCCGCCGCGGAGAGGAGGAGGAGGAGGAGGAGGCCGGAGCCGGGAUGUCCGGGCAGCAGCAGCAGCAGCAGCCGCCGCCGCCGCCGCUCCCCUUGGCGGCCGCCGCCGCUCCCCCGCCGGCGCCGGGGUCCCCUCGGCCGCCGCCAGCCCCGGCCCCGCGCCGGCCGCCGCGCUUCUGCUCCACCCUCCGCCGCCGCCCGCCACCGCCGCGCCGCCUCCGCCCGCCGCCGGCAGCACCGGGCCCGCGGGGGCGGCGGGGGUGGCGGGGCGCCGGGCUUGGCGGCGGGGAGCGGCGGCGGCGCCCCGGCGGCGUUCCCGCACGGCGAUCCGGCCUUGAACGAGCAGGAGAAGGAGCUGAAGCGGCGGCUGAAGAGGCUGUACCCGGCCGUGGACGAGCAGGAGACGCCGCUGCCCCGCUCCUGGAGCCCGAAGGACAAAUUCAGUUACAUCGGCCUCUCGCAGAACAACCUGCGGGUUCACUACAAAGGUCAUGGAAAAACUCCAAAAGAUGCUGCUUCUGUUCGAGCUACACAUCCUAUACCUGCAGCCUGUGGCAUAUACUAUUUUGAAGUUAAAAUUGUCAGCAAGGGAAGAGAUGGGUAAGUAAUGAAUGCAUUAUUAAUUAUUACUUAAACUAAUGAUUCAGUCAUCUUUCUUUCAGUCAACACGUGUUUUUGGUAUCAAUGCUUCUUUCAUAUGUUCACAGUUUUUAUGUAGCUUAAUUCAUUAUUCAUGACAAGUUGCACCCUGAUAUUUGGUAAAGUAAGUUGAUGGUGGUAUUAGUUAUCCACAAAUCAGUAUAUGCAGUGAAUACCAUGAUAACACCUCCUUGUUUGCUCUUGACCGAGAAGUUGGGGUUUAAAUGACUUAGUUUGUGCCUGCUCUUACCUUUAAUGGUGUGGUAUGUGUAUACAGAGACGAGGUAGUUUUUAAGAAGUGUUUAGGAUGUGCAGCUGAUGAACUUACCUCUGCAGUGCAGUCUUUUCAUGGAUGCUCUAUUAAUUUUAAAAAGUGAAGUUGUCCUCAAAGCUACUUUUUAUUGAGCAGUGAUAAGAAUAAAGAAGAACACUCUGAGUGGAUGUCUGGGAAUCCGUCACUAUGGAAAGAACAAGAGUGAGUGAAUGAGUACAGCUGGUGUUGUGAAGGAAUAUUUUGAAAAGCUGGCCUCUCAGUGUUGCUGUUGCCUUUGAAGGGUGUUUGUGGUAGUUUGUUAUCAGUUCUGUUCUCAAAAGUUCUCUUUGGGAGACUUCUUUGCUAUCAGAAUCUUGCACCUGCAGUUGCUGUUGUCACAUUGCGAAGACCUAAGUAUCUUUAAGUUGAGACAGUAGUAAUUCGUGUUUCUGGUAAUGAUUUCCUAUCAGUUUAGGAACAACUUUUUUUUUUAACUUAAACGUUAGGAAAAAAAUCUGCCCUUCUGCUGGCAGUUAAGAGUACUGUGAUUUGCUGAUGAUGCAUAUGCCUGCUACUGAAAUACAUUUGUGCUUGUUAAGAUUGGAAGUUGCUUUUUUCCUUUUUUUUAAUUUAAAUGAUGGAUUUUAAAGUGAUGCCAAUGUGUAUGAAGGAGAGAGUGUUGUUUUACCGAACUUGGCUGACACUUAAACCUUUGCUGCCUUUUAGUCAGUUCUAAUGCAGAAGAUUGUUCGGGGCAGUCUACAAAAGUGGAAGCCACCUUCAAGUAAUGUAUUUCAAGAUUUAUGAGGUGUCCAUAAUUAAGACUUGUGAAGUUACCUGCAAAGAGCAUUUAAAAAAUCUGAGGGAAGCUCAGUAACACAUUACUGCCUUGCUUCACUCUUGAUCUCUUUUUCAGUGUCACUUUCUUGAAAUAUCUUGAAAUAUCUGCAUAAUGAGCUGUUCAUUUUCUUCAUAGUGUAAUAUAGCAUAGGUGCUGGGGAAUACUGCGCACAGAGCCAAGGCUACAUCUAGCUUUAGCUGCUGAAGAGCAGGAACUGGCAUGGACCCUCAGUGGAUGUGUCUGUCUUGAGACCCCGUUUCAGUACCAGGAGGCCUCUGACAAGAUGCAGUGUCAAUCUCAUAGUUCUGUGUUUUGCUGAGUUGAAACUAAUAAAUUAUUUUCAAAUUACUAAACUGGGGAAUGUGAUGCAGAGACAUAUCAGUAGGUCUACAGAGAAUGGUUUUAUAGGGUUCAUUAGUUCUUUCUCACUCCCUGUUGUUUCAACUGGCUGGCUCCACACACAGUCUUAAGAUUUUUUUUCUUCUUGGCAUCUGGUAAUGGGAAAAGAGUUCAUGAAGACCACGACUGUAGGGGACCAGCAUCAACUAAUAUAAUCAAUUGGUUGAAAUGCCUUAUUGUUGCAAAAGAAUCUACUUCCAAGUAGAGCCUGGCUGUGGAAGCACAACAGCCCUUAUUUUGUGGUGCUGUCUAAAAUAAAAUCUGAGGCAACUUGAGUAUGUCUGCAAGAUUAGAUACGGCUUGCAGACUUCUUAAAGCCAAUGGAUAAUAUAAUGCUGUUUGCAGUUCCCUUUGGUAGUGGCCUUUACUUUUAGUAUUUGUUUUAUAUAAACGUUGCUUAAAGUAUUUAAUCAGUGAAUUAAAUUACAUGAGCAAGCCUGGCAGCAUUCAUGUUUGUGUACUCUAGCUUAGUGUGGCUUGCCUCAAAUCAUCAAAACCCUUUACUAAAAACCUUGUCUAGGAGAUCUAAUUUUUUUGCCACCAUAGAACUUGAUGGCCCUGUUCCAGGAAUAUGAUAUUGAGUAUCUCAAGGUUCCUGAGCAAUCACAAAGCUGAUUUUGCCACCUGCAAAGUUGGAGCACAGCUCUUUUUUGUAUAGGGCAUGGUUCUGACAGGGCUUCCACUAUGGUUUGUCGUAACUGCCUGGGAAGCAGAAUUGAUUUUGUUGCUCUGGUGACCUAGGCCACUAAAUUCUGUAUGUAUUUGGGGGAUGAUAGUCUUGAGUAGUAGUCUUGAAAGUGCAUAAUAUAUUCAUUUUGCAUAGUGAUUAACUUAGAGGCAUUAUGGACAUACUGAAGAAACCACGAAAGCAGGCUUACUGGGAAAUAAGAAGCAGAUAUGGAGGUUAGUGUUGCAGAAUAGAUCAAGAGUGAAGUUGUUUUUUGAUCGUAAGUGAGAAAUGAUGGGGCCACGCAACAACUGAUGGUAACAGAUGAGAAAAAGGGAAGUGAGAAUGAGGUUUAAUAAAAGUAAUAAGGUGGAAAUAUCUUUCAAACAAAAACUGUUUUGAUGUUUGUACAGUGCUUGGCAUGAAGAUUCUUAAUGUCCUUUAUGUGCUGCUACAGUGCAGAUAUGUGAAUAAUUCUUAUCAAACUUUAAAAAGUUCUUGUUAGAAGUGCUAACCAGCUGUCAUAUUGUUUUCUAAAUCUUUUCUGUUCUGCAUUUCUUCAAUUUUUUAAAUCCCAUGCCUCCUUUUGCAUUCUGAAGACCUCUUUCUGUUCUCCCUUUAUACUCUUGCUUUGUUUUGCUUGGCCUCGCAUGAAGCGUUGUGGACAGGGAUGUGAGUGGUUAGAGAUAAUAACAGUAGGUGAGUAAUGGAUGUGGGACGGGGAAUAGUACGAAGGUGGUUAUUACAAGGCAUGUUAGGAAGAAGACUAUUAAUGUCAAUAAGCUAUAUCCGGAUCACUACUGAAAUCUCCAAUUAAUAGAAAUAUAUUUCAAAACAAACAAAAAACUCUAAUAAAUAUGUAAGUCAGAUUUGAGAGUGUUGCAGCAAACGCUUUCAAAGUAUUCUGAUACGGUAGAGGAGGCUAAACAUAGUUUUAGCUUUAAAUUAAACCUUUUUAAGCUCGUAACAGUUCUCAGUGUGAAACUGCUCUGUCAGAGAACUAGCAAUAACAUAAGAGAUUCUUUCUGUAAUUUCUUACAACUACGGCUUUAGUGUCAUCUAAGUUUCUAGAGUGGGGCUUAAUUAUACCAGUGUACGUCUGUGGUCUGGGAAUGGAAAUGAACAAGGGUGUGCUAAUUCCUGUUCUUGUGACUUGGGAAUCAAUUACAGUCCCCUUACUUUCCAGAAGUGACCCCCAUGCGUCCGUUCUCUUUGCUAGGCUGGUAUGUGCAAAUGAGGAUAUAUCCAGUCUCUCUCAAUUCUUGAUUUCACUUUGCUCGUGCUGCCUUCCACUGAGCCGUGCUAAUCUUUUACACAUACAGCUCCUCUAGCUUUGUGUAAAGGACAAAUGCAUCUGCCUUACAGCCCAGCAUUUUAUUUCAGAUAGCAGCAAAUGCCGCCUUCUUUUAUGCAACUGAAAGUUCCUUACGUGAUGCAGUUUUAGUUUAUGUAAGCUCUAAGAGUUGAUCAAUGGCUUCUGCAGACAUUCUUCUUCAGUGGUCAAGCAUCAUCUCUAUCCUCUGUUAGGAGUAUGAGCUUUACUGUACCCUUUGGUUGCACUCUUUGGGCACUCUAGACUUAAAGAUACUCCAAUUUCACUUUCCUAAGGGCUGUCUGAAGGGUGUCCAGUGGCUACCAGAAGCAAAAUGCUGUCCUGUCAUUCUGCGUUAUAAAUAGCUUGUGUGUAUUGCAGGGCGAUCAUCCAUUUCUGCAUGAGUUUCAGUCCUAGGCUUGUUGAUAUGUGUAGUGAAUCUCCUCUUUUCCAGUCAGAGCAGGUUUUUUUGUUGUGUUUACAGUUUUUAUUCUAAGCUGUGGUUUGAAUGCUUUGUGGUGAUUCAGCCAUGAAAAGCAGCAGCCUCUGAACGCUCGCUGAGGUCUCUUCCCCCUGUCCCAGUUUGUAGCUGUUUGUGUUAGCUACGUGAUAAACCUGACUGGGUAGCUUCUUUCCAAAAGCUGACCUCAAGAGUGAGUUGUUUUUUUAGCCUAAUUAGUUCCCAGGAUGUCUGUUUAUACAGCAGCAUACAAAGAGAGGGCAUCUUGGAGCAGAAAUGAGCAUCUGCCCCCUGGGAGGGUGGGAGGGAAUGCCACUUCUGGAUGUGGCACCAGCUCAUGUCCACCUGAUGUUAGUUCAAAUGCAAAGUUUAAUGGCUUUUAAGUCUUUCAUCUGGAGAGUGUGGUUGUUGGUUUUUGGGUUUUUUUGGGUUUUUUUUUUUUGUCAGUUUCCUUCCCUGGAAAAGUAAACCUUUGGAGAAAAUGCAUUUAUACUUCAUGUCUUUAACACUGUCCAUUCUUUAUCUCAUGCGUUGAUUUGUAAACCCAAUUUUGAACAGUGGGCAACUGAUGCUAUUGUCGUUUAUUUCUAGACAAUCUUUUGUACUUUUAGAACAGCUGAGGAAGAUACAUCCUUAAUUAUAUCCACUCAGAGGAUUUUAUCUUCUUUUUUUGAGAAGAAUGAAAUCAAGAAUUGGAAAUGCAAAGUUGUUUAGAAGAAAGAAAUAGCGAAAGCUAAGGUUGGAAAGGCUGUAGUGCUUUUAGCACAGAGCUAACACCUCUGUGAGAGCGACUGUUCAGUCUGUAGUGUGGUUGUACUGAUGCAGGUAUUUACAGACAUGCUUUGUAUUGCACUUGUAAGAUCUGCUAAACAUCCUGUACCAAAAUCAAAUGGUUACAGCAACUCACAAGUGUAUCAGUGUGGUUUUUAGCAGCACUGCUGGUGAUGCCUUGCGGCACCUGUUGGCUUAUGGCUGUUUUUAACCACUGUCCAAUACAACUAGAUUUCUGUUUUGGCUAUGUCUUGCAGUAUAUAUUGUGUGUGUGGUGAGAAACCAUGCUUUCUUGCAAAAAAUGUUGCUGCUACAAUAAGUUGGCUUUUCCUUUUAGCAUCCAGUGUACCCAUUUUCUUGUAAACAGACCACAGAGUAAUCUUUGGUUGCUGUUUUGUUUGUGUUUGUUUUGUAUGCUACUAACCUAACAGAAAAACUUUGUGUGGUCUUAAGAUCUAUUUUUGUCCUUCUGCUAUGUCCUCGGAAAGCAGUUAUUUGUUGCAAUAACAGUCAUUUGUUACCACAACAUGCAGACUUCACUUACCCUCUAUUUACAUGUUGUUGGCAUUAUUAGCAGAGUACUUGUGUAUAAAGUAGAAUUAAAACAAGGAAAGUCUGAAGUAGCUUUCUUAUCUUAAUGCUCUGACGUGAAAUAUAGCAACUGCAAGAGGAGAUUGGAUUGUGAAAUAGCAAGUGUGUUUUCUCUUAAACUGUAGUGCUACUUUGUUUUUUAUCCAUACAGGAGGCAACUGUAGUUCUUUCCUGCUUGUUAAACAUGUGAAAGUGUAGGAGGAUUAUUUGAGGUAUGUAUUUAAUAGGUCAGAAAUACCUGUAGCUUACAGAAAGUAGCUUAAAGUAGCUUAAAAUUCUUACAGAAUUUUAAGUUAUCCCUUUCUUACAAGGUUCAGCCACAUAAAUAAACUGCAUAGAUGAUAAUCUCAGUGUCUUGCAUUACCUUAUUGUCUGUGCAGCUGUUCUUUUUUUCGGCAGCAGUGUCACCAGAAAGGCUUUUGUUCUCAAGAAGUGUCACUAGACAGAAACGAUGCAACCUCAGAAAGUGAGAGGGCUAUCUGAGGGUUGGAGCAGUAAAUCGCUAUCUCUAGGAUCAUUAUAGGAAUGACAAGGAAAAUGCUAGAGGAAUAAGUUUCACGCACCACCGAAGAUGACUGUCUGGCUUUUUUUCCUCUCCAUGUAGAACUAGAUCCAUCUGAAAGCUGGGUUUAUCGUGUUCAAAAUACUGUUUCCUUGGAAACAUUUCACAGAAUUAAACUUGUUUUCGGUUUGAAACGAAAGACUCAAACUGUCUAUGGCAUAUUUUGAAACACUUACAUAGAGAAAAGUUUAACAGCUCAUAUCUUAUUGUGAAUGUGCAGACAAUAAGAGUCUCAGAUUAGCAUAUUCCUACAAAAUUUUAAUGCAGACUAGCUCUGUUAAGGAUGACAUUUGGAUACCUUCUUAGUGUGCUGUAUUUCUGACCUUACAGUGCACUGUCAGUAAAGACAGUGUAGAAAAUAAUAGAAAGAUACUAUUUGGACUUUGUAUAUCCUUGCAAGUCAGUCAGUUGUGUGGACUCUAAAGUUUAGUCUUAAGAUUCUUAAAGAUGUUGUGUUUUUUUUUUUCCUCCUCUUACCCUUUUGUAAGAUACUAACUUCACAGUAAAACAAAUUGCACCUGUUGUAUAACUGACUUUUUUCAGCACAUGUGAAAAAUGAGGAUUUUUCGGUUGCCUUAUUUAUGAAUUUGAAGUCAGGCAGUGCUUGGACUACGUAGGUCACUUUCUUACAGAUAUUACAGAAACUCUGGUUUUACUACUGUAUGGUGUUCAGUUGCUUUCUUCAUAGCACGUAGGUGCUAUAAACCUACAUGCUUUAAAACUUUAGGCUCCAGCGAGAAUGCGAGUUUAGCUCAUUGUGUGGAAAGAUUCAUGAGGAAGGAAGAGUUAUUGUGAGCUUAAUGCUGCUCAUACAUUUCAAGGAAGCCCAAGCUUUUUGGUAUUAGUGGAGAAUAAAAGUACUUAGCAUAAUGUCUGUAUUUUUGAUGUUUGCAUUUCUUUUACUAUGUGGAAAACAGCUGAAUCUUAAUUUGGGUAAUUCUUCUCACUGAAACAAGUCUUACUGCAGGUAAUGGCUAUGGACCUAAAUGUGAGCUAAGCUGGUCUAAAAAGCAAACAAAAGUCUUUCUGAAGCUAUGAAUCUUAGAGUUGCCAGGGAAAAAUAAAAAUUAAACAGUUGCAUGUAGCAGUUUGCAUCAGUACAACUUUGAUGUAUUUUGAUGAAUUUUAUGGCAUCUAAAACCUGUACGUUGUGAUACUGUUUCACCCCUCAAUUUACAGUGUACUUUAUCUUGUUUACCUAGUUGAUUAACUACCCAUCAACUAGAACAGAUGGUGUUAGCCAAAUUUUGCUCAUUUCUCAACCAUAAAUGGUAGCCAUUCCUUUCUCCUUCUGAAGGGUGUCUACAGUAGACGUGUCAAUUAUUUAAAAUGUUUGAAUCUAUUUAAUCUAAUUGUGGUUGAAUUUCUAUUCAUGCCAUGUUCCUCCGAUGCAGUGUUGUUACCAUUCAGCAGUCCUAAGUGAACCCCAGGGAAAAAUAUGUAUUGUAGACAUCCAUCUCCUUACCAGUAUGGUGUCAGCAGUGUUUUAGUCACCACCGAUGGCAGAAUCCUUGUUCCCAAUUGUACAGAUUUUGCUGAAUAUCUUAACUCAGUGACUGCACCUUUACCAUUGUUAGCAAGCUAAAGAGGAGCCUAAGAAGUUGCAGAGUAUGUUAUGAGAAUGUGAUCUAGUGAAGAAACUGAGUAGAUGAGGUUGAUGGUUGGACUUGACUAUCUUGUAGGUGUUUUCCAACCUGUAUGACUCUGUGUUCAUCUGAAGGAAAACAUAGGCAGUACCAAAUAUGUUUCCUAGGUGAUCAUUUCCCAUCAAUUAUCUUCUGUUUUUCUGUAUAACCUAAAUCUCAGUCUCUGUAAGAAUACUGAAAUAUACCUUAGGUUUGGUUGAACAUGUUCUAAUUGGCUUGAUUUGAAAGACUUUCAUCAGUUGAUGGUUAUCUAAAAAUAAAUAAUGUCUUGAAUUUGUCAACAGAAGACUUUACAAUAGUGGAUUUUCAGUCUUUACGUGAGAAUCCUUUGUGCAUCAAACUCUACGAUGCUUUUUAAGACAAAAUCAAUGGUUUUCCACUUGUUGCUUUCAUUUGUUUUGUUGUCUCUGCUGUAGUGGUGUCUUAGUGAUGUAAUUCAAAAUGCGGAAAAGACUGAUGCUUUUGUCUGUUGCCUUUUUGCCUUAGCUUUUCAGUAUCCCUAGAUGGGAUAUGGGUAGUACAUAUGUUUGUGAGGUUCGAUUUCACCCUAUUAGUGAGUUGGAGGGUAAGGAGGAUUGAUAUCACAAUUGAUAGUAUCAGAGGAGGGACGAUGUAGAAUGUCAAACAUAGAAGCAGAUAAGGUUACUAUUGGAGGUGAUCGUUACAAAAAGCAGAAAUCCCUUUAUGCAGUUAAGCGUAUGACUUGUGUUUUCCUGCUCAGGUUCAUUCUAUGUGGAACAUAUUUUAAAUAGCAGAUUAAUUUGUGUUUCCUAGUAGAACAGUUGCAUUAAAAACUGCCUUUUACUAAAUGAGAAUACAAAGGUUAUGCUUAUUGUCAUGAGCUGUUUUCAAAUUGGUACAGGGAAAUAUAUUUUGUUAAUAUGGCUUAUUCAGUAUUUCCUGGUAAACUUAUGCUAAAUAGUUUGAACUGUUGUCAGAAUAAUUUGCAUGCUUUGAUAAUCUAAGAAGUGUUAAGUUCAGGUGACGGUACUGGUUUUUUUGUUGUUUGUUUUGGUUGUGGUGUGCUGGUAAAAGCCAAGCUUUUCAUUGUGGUGUUUUUCUUUUUGAUUUCCUGCCAGCAUAAUUGUGAAGUAACUUUUGCUCAACAAACAGAAGCCGAACUGAUUUCACUCACUUGAAAGACUGUUCUUGUGAGGGUGGAACUGGGUUGUUAUUCAUUUUGACUUUCCAUUAUUUGCUAUUAAAUUGCUAAAAGUUGUAUUGGAUGCUGACUUUAUCAGAACUUUUUGUAGAGCUGGCUUUGGAGAUUGACCUAGCAACAACUUACUUAGACUUCGGAUUACUGGUCAGCAAAAUAAAUAAAAAAACUUCCUCUUUAACUUUGCCAACAGAUUCCUAACAGCUAAGUAAUACUACUGUGAAAUUUCUUAAGAUAGCAUUCUGCUCCGUGAUCCAGGCCUUUCAUGUUUUAGUUUGAUCUUCCUGUGUCAUGCGAGGAUGCAUUUUGCUACUGAAACUAUGCAGCUUUCCAUGCAUUUCAUAAAAUUACUCAAUCCAGACUGCAAAACAUGAUUGCAUACAUUGAAUAAAAAUGUGAUUAGGCCACUUUCUUCAUUCAUGCUCUGAACUUUACGUACUGUCUGUACUCUCCAUGAGCAACCUGAGAUGCCUGGAAGAGAAGAAUGUUAUCAGAGACUGUCUAUACUAAACAAUAUAUAGCAGGAAUGACUCUUGUUGAGUUCUCUUGAUGUUAUACCAGUAUUAAAGGACGUCUUGGUAGCUUAAUUGGUGUAUGAUUAAUGCAUGCAAUGUUUCUUGGCAACAUCCCACAUGUAUACAUAUUUUUUGUAAGAGACAUAAAUUUCUCCUGUUAUUUUUACAGAUACAUGGGGAUUGGGCUUUCGGCACAGGGUGUCAACAUGAAUAGGUUACCAGGUAUGUUUUAGUACUUCUAAUGUUUGAUAGGUUACUCAUAUGGUUCAUUUUGGUUUGAAGUCUACGUGAUUUUGAUAGGAAAGCUCUGGUAAGCACCAGAGUGUAGCAUGGCAUCUCUGUGUUGUAUCUAUUUAUCUGCGGUAUGUAAAACUUGCAGGUAGAAGGCUUUGCUUUCUGUUGUGUUACUGCAUAUUUGUUCCUGUUCAUUGACAAUGUUAUGCAGGUACUGUU
Molecule: long non-coding RNA, 10634 nt
Filed under: Gallus gallus (chicken)
Lineage: Eukaryota; Metazoa; Chordata; Aves; Galliformes; Phasianidae
Source: RNAcentral